AAAAACCAGAAAGCAAAUAGGCUCAGAAGAGGAAACAGGGACCCUGUCAGCAGCUGAGAAAAAGAAACCUAAGGCAGACCAGACCUGAACAGAAGCAGGAACAGCUAGAAAGUUCAGCCACUGCCCUGUGGCCUUUGAAGAAGGCCCAGAGUUGCCUUCAGAGCACCCGGGGUAUCCCCCACCCCCAAAGCCCACCUGAAGCCUGUCCUGGCUACACUUGGGUUUCCUGGUAUCUGGAGUUUCUCUAAAGACAGCUCAGACCAGAGCUGUGCUGAAAAUACACAUCAAAAUUGAAGACACACUGCUCUCCUGGCUGUAUUCCACCUGGAUGACCCUGGCACCUGAAAACUGCUUCUUACAUUCAGCAAAAUGCACGUGCUGGGCCCAAGAGGACCUGGUGGCUAUUUGCAGAGAGAAAUCUGUCCCAUCCAGAUGUUGCUAGCCUGGCCCUGCUGCUCACCUCCCACUGCUCUGUGACCUUGGGAGCUUUGGAUCUCCACCUAGGAUGAACUCCAAUUCCAGAUUGAAGCCAUCCAUAGCAGGGGAUACGGAAAGGGGACUGUUAAACCACCAGCAAUCUAGGCAGCAAAAACCUUGUAUUCCUUUGCCUGAUUGGCCCUUGGGCCGUGUUAUGGAGGAAGGUCCCUGCUCAUCUGGGCCUGGAGGCUCUACACCCAGCAGGGCACUUGCUGUAGUUUGGGAAAAGGGAUUGGGCUUCAGUCUUCAGAAUGGAUGGAAGCUGCAAAGAAGAGUGAAUUUAAAUCACAGCAGAAUCAGUCCAGUCUCUGCCAAACCCAGAUUCUAAUUCAGGAGCCUGAACCACAGCAGGAGAAACUAAGUAAUUCUCCUGGUGUAGACACUGAACCUCCCACCAGCCCUGCUCCUAUUCGACAUUUAUUUACAGAAGAGACAUUCAACUUCAAAGGCUGAUUUUAUGAAAAAUUCAGCCUUUCUGAGAAGGAUCAACUUCUCAUUUCGAUCAUGAAGAUCAGCAUCGAUAGUGUCCCAGGAGACACCAUCAACAGGGUAAAGCAAAUGUCUUGAGGCAAGAUCCUGCCUCCCAGAGCAGGAACCAGCUUCUCUUCAGAAAGGAGCUGUGCACCUGAACAACAGAGCCUUCCUGAGACCACACUUGUAGAUGCUAAACUGGGCUGGACCAGAUCAGGGAUCCUGGAGUGCACUAGAGCCUGUAAAGAAGUCUCUGGAUACAAAACUCUAUCUUCUUCCCUGAGAUAUUAUCGACAGCAUAUAUCUGGAAGAAGCAGAGAGUAGCAUUGUGUUUUUUUGCAUACAGCCAGCCCCAAGAAGUCUCCAAGCAGAGACCAAAGAAGCUUUGAGGAAGGAAGGAGGUUGAGAGCAGAGUUGCACCAGGCCGUUCAGAAGGGACAUCUUGAAGAGAACUCCUGGUUCUGGAGAAAGUAAGGCAUGGAACCAGAGAUAACCUGGGAACUUGGGAACUUGCUGGUGUUUCAGUCUUCAGAGAGCUGAAGGAAAUAUCUGGGUACCCAGAUGUGGUGGUGGACCCACUGCACCUCCCAAUGCAUGCACUCUGAUUGCAAUUGAUAGCAUAUCAACAUGGAAUCUUUGCCAUUUUUAAUAAAUAUAUUGGCUCAUUUAUUC
Long non-coding RNA from Rattus norvegicus (Norway rat), 1620 nucleotides. RefSeq lists it as uncharacterized. NCBI's taxonomy places the organism in Eukaryota, Metazoa, Chordata, Mammalia, Rodentia, Muridae. The record is from RefSeq and is a predicted model, not a curated record.